This 775-nucleotide ribosomal RNA is filed under the name uncultured Neocallimastigales. RNAcentral describes it as "partial large subunit ribosomal RNA". It matches the Rfam family "Eukaryotic large subunit ribosomal RNA", at positions 26 to 644 of the family's 3401-position model. Lineage: Eukaryota; Fungi; Neocallimastigomycota; Neocallimastigomycetes; Neocallimastigales. The record is from RNAcentral.
CGCAUCUGUGCAUGCAGCAUAUCAAUAAGCGGAGGAAAAGAAACUAACAAGGAUUCCCUUAGUAACGGCGAGUGAAGCGGGAAGAGCUCAAAUUUGAAAUCUUCAAGGUUUUACCUUGACGAAUUGUAGUUUAAAGAAGUGUUUUCUGUUGAAGUUUUGGUAAAAGUUCUUUGGAAUAGGACAUCAUAGAGGGUGAGAAUCCCGUAUUUGACCAUUAUUUUCAGCUGUGUGAUACACUUUCAAAGAGUCGGAUUGUUUGGGAAUGCAGUCCAAAAUGGGUGGUAAAUUUCAUCUAAAGCUAAAUAUUGGCGAGAGACCGAUAGCGAACAAGUACCGUGAGGGAAAGAUGAAAAGAACUUUGAAAGAGAGAGUUAAACAGUACGUGAAAUUGUCAAAAGGGAAGCGUUUGACACCAGUGUUGUUUUCUCGAAAAUCAAUUAAAAAGAGUUAGAUUUUGUUGUGUAUUGACCUUAACAGCUUGCAUUUCAAUUUUCUUGCUUUUUUUAAUGCACUUUUCGUUUAACAAGUCAACAUCAGUUUCUUUUGUUGUAAAAAGGUCAUUGGAAGGUGGCUUUCUUUUCGGAGAAAGUGUUUAUAGCCUUUGACUCCUGCAAUCGGAGAGACUGAGGUCUGCAGCGUAGAUCCUUCGGGGUUAGAUACAUUUGUGCUAAGUUAUAGCUUUUUAUAGACAACUUGUUGACUAUGAUUAGUCUUGUAGCUUACUCGCUUAUGCUAUUUUACCUACGCUUAGGAUGUUGACACACGCGCGUGCUCG